AGUAAAGUGUCUGAAAAAGAAUAAUUUUGAUAGAAUUAAGCAUGCGGAAUUCCGCCUUUACUAC
RNAcentral lists this transfer RNA (64 nucleotides) under Jebusaea hammerschmidtii. Its description in RNAcentral is "tRNA-Ile". Lineage: Eukaryota; Metazoa; Arthropoda; Insecta; Coleoptera; Cerambycidae. The record is from RNAcentral.